Non-coding RNA from Pelobates cultripes (western spadefoot toad), 239 nucleotides. Lineage: Eukaryota; Metazoa; Chordata; Amphibia; Anura; Pelobatidae. The record is from the annotation of a GenBank genome assembly.
AUAAAUACUGCAUAACACAUCCAUAACUUUAUUUAUUCAAAAUCUUCUUUCUGUAACCAAAAUUGUUAAACAUAAAUAAGCAUAAAUUAAUAUAAAUAUAUAACAACACACAGUGUUAUACAGUAACCCAACCGUCCUUGCCAAUAAACAUACCGUGGUUCCUAAUCACCACUUCCUCUCACCUCCCCCCUCGUCAUAAAUCAUACCAUUCCAAUGCCCGCCAUCAGCCGACCUUAUCC